GUGCUCACUUCGGCAGCGCAUACACUAAAAUUGGAACAAGGCAGAGAACACUCGCAUGGCCCCGCGCAAGGGUGCCCUGCAGAGACUAUAAGUGUAGUGCUUAGGU
Molecule: small nuclear RNA, 106 nt
Organism: Octodon degus (degu)
Lineage: Eukaryota; Metazoa; Chordata; Mammalia; Rodentia; Octodontidae
Source: Ensembl